RNAcentral lists this ribosomal RNA (498 nucleotides) under uncultured bacterium. RNAcentral describes it as "partial 16S ribosomal RNA". It matches the Rfam family "Bacterial small subunit ribosomal RNA", at positions 28 to 523 of the family's 1533-position model. The record is from RNAcentral.
GAUGAACGCUAGCGGCAGGCCUAAUACAUGCAAGUCGAACGAUAUUUUCCAGCUUGCUGGGAGAGAAAGUGGCGCACGGGUGCGUAACGCGUAUGCAACCUACCUUUAUCAGGGGGAUAGCCCGGAGAAAUCCGGAUUAAUACCGCAUAAAAUCACAGAACGGCAUUGUUCAAUGAUCAAACAUUUAUGGGAUAAAGAUGGGCAUGCGUGUCAUUAGCUAGUUGGCGGGGUAACGGCCCACCAAGGCGACGAUGACUAGGGGAUCUGAGAGGAUGGCCCCCCAAACUGGUACUGAGACACGGACCAGACUCCUACGGGAGGCAGCAGUAAGGAAUAUUGGUCAAUGGAGGCAACUCUGAACCAGCCAUGCCGCGUGCAGGAAGACUGCCCUAUGGGUUGUAAACUGCUUUUAUCCGGGAAUAAACCUCCGAUCGUGAUCGGAGCUGAAUGUACCGGAAGAAUAAGGAUCGGCUAACUCCGUGCCAGCAGCCGCCGCCG